Nicrophorus vespilloides is the source of this 1256-nucleotide long non-coding RNA. RefSeq lists it as uncharacterized. NCBI's taxonomy places the organism in Eukaryota, Metazoa, Arthropoda, Insecta, Coleoptera, Silphidae. The transcript is spliced from 14 exons. The record is from RefSeq and is a predicted model, not a curated record.
GAAAGAAAAAUAAUAAAACUGAUUUUUUCAAUAUAAAUAAAUGAUAUCUAUCUGUAUACGAUGCACACAUAAUUUCUUUUUUGGGGUGUGGUGAUGGGAAAAUCCCCUUUUGCAAAAUACAAAUACCUCACGCAUAAUGAGAGGAUUCAUUCAUUACUAAUAUGUUUCUUUUCUCAAAAUUGUUUUCACAUUUCAGGACUUCUUGAACUUAUUUUUGUUCAGUGAAAACGAAAUACGUUUUCAUCUUUUCUACAAAAUAAAAAGAGAUUUAGAAACUAUCCAUGUUUACAGAAGUGUGCAAUCUUGUGUAGGUGGUGGAGUUGAAUCUAAUCAAUAGUAGGUCUAUACUUGUUAGAAAGAUUCUGAAAUUUCAUUUUCGAACUAGAUUAGGACAAACAUAUCUAACUUGAUAUGAUUCUUGAUGAAUAUAGUUUUAAAAGGUUCUUAAACUACCUUUUCUAUCUUAAGAUGUAAACUUGCUAAGGUAGCUCAUUGUGUUUUGAAGAAUGUAGUCCAUACAUCAAGUUUAGAUUCUUGAACUACCUUCUUCUAAGAUGUAUACUUACUAUGAUAGUUCAUUGUGUUUCGAAGAAUGUAGUCCAUAUAGCAACUAAAGAUUCAACAACUUUCUUAACCUUAAGACACACAAGCUAAGAUAAAUGAUAAGAAUAGGUUCUUGAACUACCUUGUUUGUCCAAAGAUGUAAACUUGCCAAGAUAACUCAUUGUAGUCCAUAUAUCAAGUUUAGAUUCAACAAGUUUCUUGAUCUUAAGACACACAAACUAAGAUAAAUGAUAAGAAUAGCCUGUCCACAAACUGAAACACUUCAUAUAUGGGAAAAGAACUCAUUGCAAAAACAGGAAUUAGAUAUACAACAUCAAAAGAUCGAUGAUUACGAUUAAUUUAUUAUAGAAAAAGGUUCUUAAACUACCUUGUCUAUCGUAAGAUGUAAACUUGCUAAAGUAGCUCAUUGUGUUUCGAAGGAUGUAGUUCAUACAUCAAGUUUAGGUUCUUAAACUACCUUGUCUAUCGUAAGAUGUAAACUUGCUAAGUUACCUCAUUGUGUUUCGAAGAAUGUAAUCCAUACAUUAAGUUUAGAAUUUCAUUCGUUUUUAUACAUUCACAAGGAUUGAUCAAUACCCUGAAGAAUUUAUGGUCUUCAGGGAAUCGUCAAUGGAUAAAGUAUAUACACAAUAAUAUUGAUAUUAUAUUUACAGGAAGAUUGAAUAAAAAUAAAAUAAAUUAUUACAUAAUAA